This 503-nucleotide ribosomal RNA is filed under the name uncultured bacterium. RNAcentral's name for it is "partial 16S ribosomal RNA". It matches the Rfam family "Bacterial small subunit ribosomal RNA", at positions 30 to 523 of the family's 1533-position model. The record is from RNAcentral.
AUUGAACGCUGGCGGCAGGCUUAACACAUGCAAGUCGAGCGGGGUGAUGGUGCUUGCACUAUCACUUAGCGGCGGACGGGUGAGUAAUGCUUAGGAAUCUGCCUAUUAGUGGGGGACGACAUCUCGAAAGGGAUGCUAAUACCGCAUACGUCCUACGGGAGAAAGCAGGGGAUCACUUGUGACCUUGCGCUAAUAGAUGAGCCUAAGUCGGAUUAGCUAGUUGGUGGGGUAAAGGCCUACCAAGGCGACGAUCUGUAGCGGGUCUGAGAGGAUGAUCCGCCACACUGGGACUGAGACACGGCCCAGACUCCUACGGGAGGCAGCAGUGGGGAAUAUUGGACAAUGGGGGGAACCCUGAUCCAGCCAUGCCGCGUGUGUGAAGAAGGCCUUAUGGUUGUAAAGCACUUUAAGCAAGGAGGAGGCUCUUUUGGUUAAUACCCAAGAUGAGUGGACGUUGCUCGCAGAAUAAGCACCGGCUAACUCUGUGCCAGCAGCCGCCGUAA